UGGGUACCUGUUAUUUGUGCACUACUUUUUCUCAACAUGGCUGCCGAUUGAAAUCUCAGUUUGUCAACUUUCUAGAUUGGGUUAAGCAUGUUGCCACAGCUCUUCUCUUCACAUUUGAAUCCAUGGGUUAAGUUAAACUCAAGUGUGAAUCAUAGACCAGUGAGGCUUGAAACUGGAACUGGUCAUGUUAUUAAAAGAUUUUUGUUGCUUGCAUCUUCUGAACAGACCCCUCCAGGCCUCCACCAAGACAACUGCUUGUGCAGCGAAAUGAAGAGGGCAUUUGAUGAGAUUGUGGAGGUCUUUCUGGCCUACCUAUCAGCUGUAUGACAACCUUGAAAAAAAUCCAGCCUAGGCAGGGAUAAGCCUUCAGAUGAAUCAAGAAUUGUCAGUGAAACAGAGUUGUUAUUUUGGCACAUAACAACUUCGUUCACAGCUGCAACAUGGAAUGAAAAUCCAUGUUACAAGCUACAUGUGCUUUUGAAAGAACUUGUGCACAGAGUUAAUGAAGGAUAGCUGAAGUUGAUGAUUACACAUAAAUAGAAGAAGGGCUCAUGAACAAAAGACAGCAUGGAGAGCCCAGGGUGUGCUCUUGUGUUCAGUCCUUUAAAUAUGACGUGUGAAUUGUUAGUCAUGUAAAUUUAGCUUGCUGCCACUCUGAUGGCAAAGAUAAAUUGCUGAACAAUCAUACAUCCCAUUUUGCUCAAUCAUGAUUAAACUUUGUCAGAAUAUUUAUCACAACAAUAUGUUGACAUGAUUUGAAUCUGGAUUAUGUGCCUCCUUAAACUAGAUCACACAAUCAAAUCUUUGAAAUAAAAUUCUCAUUUAACAGGCCAUAUUUUGUAGGCUAGCUCCUUCUUGAUGAAUCUUGGUCAAACUUGAUGUUUACAGUGACAAUAUUUAGGUAAAGUUCCAAUGUGGGUCACAUGCAUAAAAAUUCUAGACCAAUUCUUAUAAAAACAAAAAGGCCAUGAUGGCCCUGAAUCGCUCACCUGUCUAACCUUGCUACAUCAACUUAAAUUCUAUCAGACCCAUAUACAAUCCCAAGAAAGAUUUCAUUAAUUAAUACAUUCUGACAAAAUGUCAUUAAGACAUGAUGAAAACUGUGACCUCUUUCAUCUACACAAGGUUUUACUAGAACUGGCCCGGUGACCUAAUUUUUGACCCCAGACGACCCAUAUACGAUCAAAAAUCAGAUAUUAUCAAGAUAAACAUUCUCGCCAUACUUCAUUAAGAUCAGAUGAAAACUAUGACCUCUAUUGUCUACACAAGGUUUUUCUAUGAUUUGACCUAGUGACCUAGUUUUUGACCACAGAUGACCCAAAUACAAUCCCAACCCAGAUUUCAUCAAGAUUAACAUUCUGGCCAAAUUUAAUUAAGUUUGGAUGAAAACUGUGACCUCUAUUGUCUACAAAAGUAGUUAUUUUAAUUUGACCUAGUGACCUAGUUUUUGACCCUAGAUGACCCAAAUUCAAUCCCAACACAGAUUUUAACAAGACAAAUAUUCUGACAAUAUUUAAUAAAGAUCUGAUGAAAACUGUGACCUCUAUUGUCUACAGCAGGGUUUUUCUAUGAUUUGACCUAGUGACCUGGUUUCUGACCCCAGAUGACCCAAAUACAAUCCAAAUCCAGAUUUUAUCAAGAUAAAUAUUCUGACCAAAAUCAUAAAGAUUGGAUGAAAACUGUGACCUCUAUUGUCUACAUAAGGUUUUUCUAAUAUUUGACCUAUUGACCUAGUUUUUGACCCCAGGUGACCCAAAUACAAUCCCAACCCAGAUUUCAUCAAGAUAAACAUUCUGAUCAAAUUUUAUUACGAUUGGAUGAAAACUGUGAGCUCUAUUGUCUACACAAGGUUUUUCUAUUAUUUGACCUAGUGACCUAGUUUUUGACCCCAGAUGACCCAAAUACAAUCCCAACCCAGAUUUCAUCAAGACAAACAUUCUGACCAAAUUUCAUAAAGAUUGGAUGAAAACUGUGACCUCUAUUGUCUAAACAAGGUUUUUCCAUUAUUUGACCUAGUGACCUAGUUUUUUACCUCAGAUGACCCAAAUACAAUCCCAACCCAGAUUUCAUCAAGAUAAACAUUCUGACCAAAUUUCAUAAAGAUUGGAUGAAAACUCCGACCUCUACUGUCUACACAAGGUUUUUCUAUUAUUUGACCUAGUGACCAAGUUUUUGACCUAGUGACCUAGUUUUUGACCCCAGAUGACCCAAAUACAAUCCCAACCCAGAUUUCAUCAAGAAAAACAUUCUGACCAAAUUUAAUAAAGAUUGGAUGAAAACUGUGACCUCUACUGUCUACACAAAAAAAUUGUUGACGGUUUUUCUAUUAUUUGACCUAGUGACCUUGUUUUUGACCUCAGAUGACCCAACUACAAUCCCAACCCAGAUUUCAUCAUGAUAAACAUUCUGGCCAAAUUUCAUAAAUAUUGGAUGAAAACGGAGACCUCUAUUGUCAACACAAGGUUUUUCUAUUAUUUGACCUAGUGACCUAGUUUUUUACCCCAGAUGACCCAAAUACAAUCCCAACCAAGAUUUUAUCAAGAUAAACAUUCUGACCAAAUUUCAUAAAGAUUGGAUGAAAACUGUUACCUCUACUGUGUUCACAAACAAAUUGUUGAAGGACGCACGCACAAACGGACGCCGGACAUCACACGGUCACAUAACUUCACCAUGUCACUUCAUGACAGGUGAGCUAAUAAUCAUAACACCCUAGAGGCCACAUUAAUGAAUCAAUAUUGAUUAAAUCCGGUCCAAAUAUUUAUCUUGACACUAUCUGGAGUUAGAAACUGGGUCGUGCAUGUCCAAAAACUUGGUCACCACGUAAAAUCUUAGAAAAAUCUUUGUACAACUUUUGAAGCCACAUUUACUUUGUAUGUUUUAUCUUGCCGAUUCCAAGGCCAUGCUUGAAAAAAUUUUAUGUGCUUAGGCUUUAGAAUCAUCAUGACCCUAUUGUUGAGAUGAAGAAUUGCAAUAAUGCAACUCUUUUACACAGAAAUUACCCUUUUUUAUGCCCUCCUUCGAAGAAGCGGGGGUAUAUUGCUUUGCUCAUGUCAGUCGGUCCGUCCACCAGGUGGUUGUCAGACGAUAACUCAAGAACGCUUGGGCCUAGGAUCAUGAAACUUCAUAGGUACAUUGAUCAUGACUUGCAGAUGACCCCUAUUGAUUUUGAGGUCACUAGGUCAAAGGUCAAGGUCACGGUGACCCGAAAUAGUAAAAUGGUUUUUGAAUAAUAACUCAAGAACGCAUACGCCUAGGAUCAUGAAACUUCAUGGGUAGAUUGAUCAUGACUCGCAGAUGACCCCUAUUGAUUUUGAGGUCACUAGGUCAAAGGUCAAGGUGACCCGAAAUAGUAAAAUGGUUUUCGGAUGAUAACUCAAGAACGCAUAUGCCUAGGAUCAUGAAACUUCACAGGUAGAUUGAUCAUGACUCGCAGAUGACGCCUAUUGAUUUUGAGGCCACAAGGUCAAAGGUCAAGGUCACGGUGACCCGAAAUAGUAAAAUGAUUUUCGGAUGAUAACUCAAGAACGCUUUUGCCUAAGAUCAUGACACUUCAUAGGUACAUUGAUUGUGACUCGCAGAUGACCCCUAUUGAUUUUCAGGUCACUAGGUCAAAGGUCAAGGUCACAGUGACAAAAAACGUAUCCACACAAUGGCUGCCACUACAACGGACAGCCCAUAUGGGGGGCAUGCAUGUUUUUACAAACAGCCCUUGUCAUGAAAUGAAUCAUCCAGUAAAUAGUAAGCAUGUGUUAAAUACAGAAAACAUUAGAAUAUGACCAAGUGGAAUGUGAUGAAAUACAAAGUGAAUAUUGUUUAUGUGGAUUAUCAUUAAAUAGUGGAAAAGUGGACUAUAACAAAUCAUAGAGUAAAAUUGGUGAUUGGUUAGUUUUAAGUGAAUGUGAAGAAAUACAAAGUGGCUUUGCUACUGCCAUUGGAUAAAUCCAUGAGGAGUUUGAAAAGUGUGUAAUAGUUAAUAAAUACUCGGUAUGUAUUAUCAGUACACAAUAUUGGAUACGUAACUAAACUAAUAAAUGGAA
Molecule: long non-coding RNA, 4037 nt
Organism: Dreissena polymorpha
Lineage: Eukaryota; Metazoa; Mollusca; Bivalvia; Myida; Dreissenidae
Exons: 5
Source: RefSeq, a predicted model, not a curated record